GAUGAACGCUGGCGGCGUGCCUAAUACAUGCAAGUCGAGCGAACGGACGAGAAUCUUGCUUCUCUUAUGUUAGCGGCGGACGGGUGAGUAACACGUGGAUAACCUACCUAUAAGACUGGGAUAACUUCGGGAAACCGGAUCUAAUACCGGAUAAUAUUUUGAACCGCAUGGUUCAAAAGUGAAAGACGGUCUUGCUGUCACUAAUAGAUGGAUCCUCGCUGCAUUAGCUAGUUGGUAAGGUAACGGCCUACCAAGGCAACGAUGCAUAGCCGACCUGAGAGGGUGAUCGGCCACACUGGAACUGAGACACGGUCCAGACUCCUACGGGAGGCAGCAGUAGGGAAUCUUCCGCAAUGGGCGAAAGCCUGACGGAGCAACGCCGCGUGAGUGAUGAAGGUCUUCGGAUCGUAAAACUCUGUUAUUAGGGAAGAACAUAUGUGUAAGUAAAUCUGCACAUCUUGACGGUACCAAAUCAGAAAGCCACGGCUAACUACGUG
Molecule: ribosomal RNA, 497 nt
Filed under: uncultured bacterium
Lineage: Bacteria
Description: partial 16S ribosomal RNA
Rfam family: Bacterial small subunit ribosomal RNA
Source: RNAcentral